Molecule: ribosomal RNA, 322 nt
Filed under: uncultured eukaryote
Lineage: Eukaryota
Description: partial 18S ribosomal RNA
Rfam family: Eukaryotic small subunit ribosomal RNA
Source: RNAcentral
CCCUUAGAUGUUCUGGGCCGCACGCGUGCUACACUGAGUGGAUCAGCGGGUCAGGUUGCGCGAAAGCGUUUCCUAAUCUUUAAAUCCGCUCGUGAUGGGGAUUGACGGUUGCAAUUUUCUGUCAUGAACGAGGAAUACCUUGUAAGCGCGGGUCAUCAUCCCGCGCUGAAUACGUCCCUGCCCUUUGUACACACCGCCCGUCGCUCCUACCGAUUGAGUGGUCCGGUGAGGCUUUGGGCUCUGAGCGGAAAGAGCGUUUCGCUGUUUCUGCUCGGAAAACUCAGUCGAACCUUAUCAUUUAGAGGAAGGAGAAGUCGUAACA